AGGGGACGCUGGUCCACAGACCGAGGCCCCGUUGCGCGCGGCCGCCUUCGGAGCGCCGCCCUCCUCCCGAAACCGGCCGGGGCGAGUGGCUGCAAGAAGCUGCGGUUUGGCCCGCGGGAGAGGGGGGCUUCCCCGCUGGGGUUGUCUGACGCGAACGCCUUCCUGGCCCCAGCCAGGCGCCCUGAGAUGAUGAAGGUUUAAGAAGCAGCAUCAUCAGCGAACUGUGUUUUGAAGAUUUGAGGGAAGGGCUGACCUCAGGAUUUUAUACUAGGUUUGUGUAAACACACAGGAUUCUUUUUCUCUCUGUCCCAAAUUUAAUCAUCGCACUCAUUCAAAUGAAAUAUGAAGUCAUAAGUAUUAAAAUAUGCAUGAGAUUUUGAACAUGUGUAUUGAGAGAAAGCAUUUUGUUUUCUAGAAAACUCAUUUCUGCUGGACAGUGGGGGUCACCAAUACGUUGGAAGGGAGAGUGCUAAGCUAAAUGUCCUCUAGGGUCUUUUUCUAGUUAUAAGAUGACCAAAUCUAUAAUUCCUGGUUCAGAGUUUCACUCACCAUCCAUGGGAGCUAUCUCAGGGAUGGAGAAAGAGAAUUCAGAUCAGGUGAAUCCCUGAGUGGUGAGCCUCAGCCACGGCUUCAUCUUGACAGACAUUUGCCCUCUAGAAACAGACUUAAGGUCAAUCCCUUUGCCAAGAAGUCAAGAAACUGCCUUCUCAACGAGGCCAGUAAAAUCGGCAUAAAAGACCUCCAGAGACAUCAAGUCUCCCUAGAGAGACUUUCUAAACUUUCUGAACAUGUUGUCUAUGUGCUGGCCUGAACCCAGAAUGUACUGAAGGGAGAAAAAAUACAAAAGACGAUGAUAGACCCAAGGAUUAUCUUCCUGGCAUUCCCUAGAACAGCUGUCUGGCAAAUGUUACACCACGUCUGAGAUUAUUUUAGAAACUUUGUCUUGAAGAAGAACAAGGAGAGAGAAUACCAGACAGAUUUGCCCUCAUUUUUUGUCACAGAAUAAGAAUUUCAAGGACAUUUUUACUUUCAGUGAGAUCAUCCUGGCAAUGCUCUUUUCAUUUUUUGAAACUUAAAUCGUGUCACAUCUAAUAAAUUUAUAGCUGUGUGUGGUUACAGCAAUGAGUUGGUA
Molecule: long non-coding RNA, 1132 nt
Filed under: Homo sapiens (human)
Lineage: Eukaryota; Metazoa; Chordata; Mammalia; Primates; Hominidae
Description: HSALNT0317229
Source: RNAcentral